RNAcentral lists this ribosomal RNA (253 nucleotides) under uncultured bacterium. Its description in RNAcentral is "partial 16S ribosomal RNA". It matches the Rfam family "Bacterial small subunit ribosomal RNA", at positions 524 to 776 of the family's 1533-position model. The record is from RNAcentral.
UACAGAGGUGCCGAGCGUUAGGCGGAAUCACUGGGCUUAAAGCGUGUGUAGGCGGAUGCCUAAGUACCUUGUGAAAUCCCACGGCUUAACCGUGGAACUGCUCGGUAUACUGGGUGUCUUGAGCCACUUAGGGGCUACCGGAACAAAUGGUGGAGCGGUGAAAUGCGUAGAUAUCAUUUGGAACGCCAAUGGUGAAAACAGGUAGCUGGGAGUGUGCUGACACUGAGACACGAAAGCCAGGGGAGCAAACGGG